Molecule: ribosomal RNA, 2514 nt
Filed under: Triticum aestivum (bread wheat)
Lineage: Eukaryota; Viridiplantae; Streptophyta; Magnoliopsida; Poales; Poaceae
Description: partial small subunit ribosomal RNA
Source: RNAcentral
AUGAAGAUUACCACGCCGCUGUUGCUUAGAUCCCUGGAGAAGGGGAACAGCAGCUGCGCCAAGCGGCAUGCCUCGUCCGAGCCGCAUGGUGGCCGACACAUCGGCGCUUUCAUGGCCGGUCCUGGGCGGUGCCUCGUCAGCGUUGUGGAUGGCUUGGGCAGCGCCUUGGCAUCCAAGAGGGGCGAAGUGGGCCGGCCAGCAUGCGUGGGGUGCAAAGGCCACGAGCAGGAAGGAGAUGCGCUGGAGGUGAUGGAGGAGGAAGUUGGAGGAGGCAUCAGCGUCCAUGGCGACGCCGCCACGGGACCCCCCGUGCACACCUCAGCGUCCAUGGCAGCGCCGCCAUGGGACCCCCCUGCACACCUCGGCAUGCCUCGUCCGUGCCACAUGGUGGCCGAGAUGCGGCCGCCCAUGCUCUGCCGGCGCCGUCUCAUCCUCUUCAUCAAGAGGAGGCAUCUCUGCCGGACGCCCGGACCACGCCUCCCCAUCUACCGCACUGUAAUGGCCACCUCCUGGAUGAGAGAGCUCCUCGAACGGGAAGUAGCAGUGCUGGAAGAACUUGAAGAUGAGCAGGUCAAUUUUGGCAUGUCCAGUGAAUUCAUGGCCAAGAUGGACGGAUUUCUGUUGUGUGGGCUGGAGGUUCUUGAGGUAGGGCACCAGCACCAACUAAGCUUCCAUUCUGGCCCGGGCUUUGCGGUGCCGUUCGCGCCGGCGGUCUCGCUCGGGGCGGGAUCUGGGGCUUCGCAGGUGGUUCGGGAGGAUCAGGUGGACUGCUGCUUCUUGGAGACCGGCCCAGAUGUGCGCGCGAUGGAGGAGGAGCUCGCCAGGGCGGUCGUGGUCACCGUGGUCGGUUCGCACCAGGCCGCGCACCUCGCGGCGGCGGCUGGCGUGAUUGUGGAGGAAUUCGACCUUGCACCCUUGGACAUGUCGAUCAGGGAAUUCUUUCUGGAGGAUUUUCUCGUCCUUUGUCGCUUGGAGGAGUUGAGGAACAGGUUGCUCCGGCGUGGUCGGGCGGGUACGGAUCAGUUCGACCUUCUCUUCAAGCCUUGGUCGCGCCACACGCAGGCUACGGGGAUCUCCAUGCCAUUCGUCAUCCCUUUAGCCCUUCGCGGCGUGCCGGUGAAUGCCUGGACCUGGCGGACUGCUGACGUGCUUCUUCCUGGUCUGGGGCUGGUGGUCAAGGUGGCGGCGGCGACGGAGGCCCGGAGCGACAUGGCUGGCUUUCGGGUGUGUUUGCGUACGGACUAUCUGGCCAGGAUUCCAUCUAAGAGGAUCUUGGUGGUAGAAAAGGCUGAUCGGAGGAGUGAGCGCGCCUUGGUCCGUGCUGGGGUGGAUGAUGCGCUGUGGUACCCGAUCUGGAUCGUCCAAGAGGCUGUUGCCAUCCGUUUAGGGCCACAGGUGGAUGCCCCUCCUCCGCCGCCGGCGUCACCUCCUUCCCCUGCGGAGGGCAGAGGCGGCGAUGAUGGUCCGGGCGGUGGGACGCGUGCAGACCGGGAGGGCCGGGGCUCGCAGGCUGAGUAUGACGUGGGCUCCUCGGCGGCUUCGGCUCCGUCGCCGACGAGGCAGGUUCAAACCAGUGGCGAGGCUGGUCAGCAAAGGCGGGUGGUGGCCCCGGGUGCAGCUGAUGGAGCGGUUGCUGUGGUCACGGGAGCAGGUCCGGUCGGGACGCUUGACUCGGAGGAUUUGGUGGGGCUGCGGGGAUGGAGCGAAUCGGCCUCGCUGGAAUGUGCGGCCGGUGGGUUGGACCAGUCGCCGGUUGGUGUAUCUAGGCGCAGGGGCCUGCAGCUGUCUCCGCUGGUGGGGACGGGCGGACCACCCUCUGUCAGGAUUGGCCAAUGGGAUCUCGCUUUGCAGGUGGCGGAAGGUGAGAUACGGACAGAAGACGUGGGCCAGCUCCUGUCGCAGCCCGAGGGGGAUAGUACGGAUUUUGACAGCCUGCUUUUGGCUAGCCCGGGAGAGUCGUUGGGAGAUGCUUCUGAGGCGGUGGGACCAGUGCUGCAUGCGGAUGGGACGCGCCCAUGCAACCGGGACGGUUGGUUUCUCGUCAGCUUAUCGGAGCAGGGAGAUGGGAACGCUGUGCCGGCAAGUUCGACUACGCCAACCGCGGGCCAGACCGUAGUUCAGCAGUUCCCUGAGGAGAGAAUUGCACAGCUAUGCACGGAACUGAGGCAAGCCAUCUCUCCGCUGUUUCCGGCGCCGUGGGGCAGAGAAGGGCUGAAGAAGCAGCGGCGCCCAAGGAAGAAGAGGCCUCCGGUUUCUUCCCCGAGGCGUAGCGUGAGACUGGCUAAAGGUGACAGGGGCUCAAAGGCCUCAAGGCAACAGGCGGUAAUCAUCAGGAAGCUGUGUCUUGCGAAUGAGGGAGAUGUGAUUUCGGAUGAGGCUUUAAACGCCUACGUGGAGCUCUUCGACAAGCCUCUGCUGGAUAGCCACGUUCAGGCCAUCUUGGCCCUGCUUGGCUGGGACGCGUCGGUCCUGCCCAUGAUUGUGGACGAUGUCGAGGUGGUGCCGGCCCAGUAG